Molecule: unclassified non-coding RNA, 234 nt
Filed under: Hevea brasiliensis (rubber tree)
Lineage: Eukaryota; Viridiplantae; Streptophyta; Magnoliopsida; Malpighiales; Euphorbiaceae
Source: RNAcentral
UUUAUGUGAUCGCAAGAUUUUCAAGUUGAAAGAAAAAAUUUAUCGUACAGCUAUACGAUCGGCCAUGUUACAUGGUAGUGAGUGUUGAGCAAUGAAGGAGCUGUGUGUGUCUAAGAUGAGAGUUAUGGAUAUGAGAAUGCUAAGGUAGAUGAGUGGCCAUACUAAACUAGAAAAAGUCCAUAAUGAGAGUAUUAGACAAAAGGCAGGAGUUGUGCCAAUUGAAGAUAAGUUGAG